AUUGAACGCUGGCGGCAGGCUUAACACAUGCAAGUCGAGCGGGGGAAGGUAGCUUGCUACCGGACCUAGCGGCGGACGGGUGAGUAAUGCUUAGGAAUCUGCCUAUUAGUGGGGGACAACAUCUCGAAAGGGAUGCUAAUACCGCAUACGUCCUACGGGAGAAAGCAGGGGAUCUUCGGACCUUGCGCCACUAGAUGAGCCUCAGUCGGAUUAGCGAGUUUGUGGGGUAAAGGCCUACCAAGGCGACGAUCUGUAGCGGGUCUGAGAGGAUGAUCCGACACACUGGGCCUGAGACACGGCCCAGACUCCUACGGGAGGCAGCAGUGGGGAAUAUUGGACAAUGGGGGGAACCCUGAUCCAGCCAUGCCGCGUGUGUGAAGAAGGCCUUAUGGUUGUAAAGCACUUUAAGCGAGGAGGAGGCUACUCUAGUUAAUACCUAGGGAUAGUGGACGUUACUCGCAGAAUAAGCACCGGCUAACUCUGUGCCAGCCGCCGCCGUAC
Molecule: ribosomal RNA, 501 nt
Filed under: uncultured bacterium
Lineage: Bacteria
Description: partial 16S ribosomal RNA
Rfam family: Bacterial small subunit ribosomal RNA
Source: RNAcentral